AAUCCAUGGUGAGGACACCUUCGUAGUAGGUCCUUGUAUCUCUCUCAUACAUCAUAAAUAGUUUCUAAGUCCAUCUACACAAACGAAGACAUAUCAUUACGUAAUU
RNAcentral lists this small nucleolar RNA (106 nucleotides) under Gossypium arboreum. Its description in RNAcentral is "Plant small nucleolar RNA R71". It matches the Rfam family "Plant small nucleolar RNA R71". Rfam says of the family: R71 is a member of the C/D box family of snoRNAs containing the C (UGAUGA) and D (CUGA) box motifs. Lineage: Eukaryota; Viridiplantae; Streptophyta; Magnoliopsida; Malvales; Malvaceae. The record is from Rfam by way of RNAcentral.